GGAGCAUGUGGUUAAUUCGAAGCAACGCGAAGAACCUUACCAGGUCUUGACAUCCGAUGCUAUUUCUAGAGAUAGAAGUUACUUCGGUACAUCGGUGACAGGUGGUGCAUGGUUGUCGUCAGCUCGUGUCGUGAGAUGUUGGGUUAAGUCCCGCAACGAGCGCAACCCCUAUUGUUAGUUGCCAUCAUUCAGUUGGGCACUCUAGCGAGACUGCCCGCGAAAGCGGGAGGAAGAGGGGACGACGUCUGGUCAGCAUGGCCCUUACGGCCUGGGCGACACACGUGCUACAAUGCCCACUACAAAGCGAUGCCACCCGGCAACGGGGAGCUAAUCGCAAAAAGGUGGGCCCAGUUCGGAUUGGGGUCUGCAACCCGACCCCAUGAAGCCGGAAUCGCUAGUAAUCGCGGAUCAGCCAUGCCGCGGUGAAUACGUUCCCGGGCCUU
This 443-nucleotide ribosomal RNA is filed under the name uncultured Thermus sp. Its description in RNAcentral is "bacterial SSU rRNA". It matches the Rfam family "Bacterial small subunit ribosomal RNA", at positions 934 to 1382 of the family's 1533-position model. The record is from RNAcentral. Lineage: Bacteria; Thermotogati; Deinococcota; Deinococci; Thermales; Thermaceae.